CCUAGCGGGAAAAGCGUAGGGGAAACACCCAGUUCCAUUCCGAACCUGGCAGUUAAGCCCUACAGCGCUGAUGAUACUGCACCUUUCAGGUGUGGGAAAGUAGGUCCCUGCUAGGA
Nautilia profundicola AmH is the source of this 116-nucleotide non-coding RNA. NCBI's taxonomy places the organism in Bacteria, Pseudomonadati, Campylobacterota, Epsilonproteobacteria, Nautiliales, Nautiliaceae. The record is from Rfam.